UGCCUCGUAGCUCAGCGGUAGAGCGGCGGUCUGUUAAACCGUUCGUCGGUGGUUCGAUCCCACCCGAGGCAGC
RNAcentral lists this transfer RNA (73 nucleotides) under compost metagenome. RNAcentral describes it as "tRNA-Asn". It matches the Rfam family "tRNA". Rfam says of the family: Transfer RNA (tRNA) molecules are approximately 80 nucleotides in length. Their secondary structure includes four short double-helical elements and three loops (D, anti-codon, and T loops). Further hydrogen bonds mediate the characteristic L-shaped molecular structure. tRNAs have two regions of fundamental functional importance: the anti-codon, which is responsible for specific mRNA codon recognition, and the 3' end, to which the tRNAs corresponding amino acid is attached (by aminoacyl-tRNA synthetases). tRNAs cope with the degeneracy of the genetic code in two manners: having more than one tRNA (with a specific anti-codon) for a particular amino acid; and 'wobble' base-pairing, i.e. permitting non-standard base-pairing at the 3rd anti-codon position. The record is from RNAcentral.